UGACGUAGUCUCGAGCUGUUGCGGCUGAGUGAAAUGUGGGCAGGCAAAACUGCGUGUGCGGCGUGUUGUUGGGCUUAAGAUUAAAUAUACAUUGCAUGUAUGUAUAUUUGGGGGUGAAAGUGAGUGAUUGGAUUCAAUGACAUCACUGGUCGUCGGCCUGCGUGCCCAACUUGAGGUCAGGGCGUGUCGUACAUAUACCGUAAAUUCGUUCAUUCUGAGGUUGAUGUUGAUCCCGAGUUGCUGUCGGUUGAGGGGCGACCACGAAUACUGACUGGCUAAAGGGCCAUUGAAUCCAGGUCUAUGAUUUUGAAGGCUGUUUGUUUAAUGGGCCAUUCGGAUGAGCUGACAUUGCUGAGAAACCUUCAUCGAAUCGAUGAGGGGCUGGGGACUUGAAAGUUUCGUUACCUUUAUAAAGUAAUGGAUGCUUGUUAUUAACAGGGAGCGUAGAUGUAUUGGAAAGAUUAGAGAAGCAACCAAACACCCCAGAUUCCAAUGGUAGUAACGACGUGGGAGGUAGCUGCAGUAUAUAGAUAAAAAUAUAUAGGACAUGAUCAUGGAACCAAUUAUAAGAAACUAGA
Molecule: small RNA, 578 nt
Filed under: Histoplasma capsulatum
Lineage: Eukaryota; Fungi; Ascomycota; Eurotiomycetes; Onygenales; Ajellomycetaceae
Also listed under: 1 other name
Description: hypothetical RNA
Source: RNAcentral